RNAcentral lists this ribosomal RNA (433 nucleotides) under uncultured bacterium. Its description in RNAcentral is "partial 16S ribosomal RNA". It matches the Rfam family "Bacterial small subunit ribosomal RNA", at positions 29 to 507 of the family's 1533-position model. The record is from RNAcentral.
UGCGAACGCUGGCGGCAGGCCUAACACAUGCAAGUCGAACGGAUCCUUCGGGAUUAGUGGCGGACGGGUGAGUAACACGUGGGAACGUGCCCUUUGGUUCGGAACAACUCAGGGAAACUUGAGCUAAUACCGGAUGUGCCCUUCGGGGGAAAGAUUUAUCGCCAUUGGAGCGGCCCGCGUCUGAUUAGCUAGUUGGUGAGGUAACGGCCCACCAAGGCGACGAUCAGUAGCUGGUCUGAGAGGAUGAUCAGCCACACUGGGACUGAGACACGGCCCAGACUCCUACGGGAGGCAGCAGUGGGGAAUCUUGCGCAAUGGGCGAAAGCCUGACGCAGCCAUGCCGCGUGAAUGAUGAAGGUCUUAGGAUUGUAAAAUUCUUUCAGCGGGGACGAUAAUGACGGUACCCGCAGAAGAAGCUCCGGCUAACUUCGUG